AAGACACUAGUAUAAAAGAAAAUAUAUCGCUUUGUCAAGGCGAAGUUGUGGGUUGAAUUCCCGCGUAUCUUA
RNAcentral lists this transfer RNA (72 nucleotides) under Micropercops swinhonis. RNAcentral describes it as "tRNA-Asp". It matches the Rfam family "tRNA". From Rfam's summary of the family: Transfer RNA (tRNA) molecules are approximately 80 nucleotides in length. Their secondary structure includes four short double-helical elements and three loops (D, anti-codon, and T loops). Lineage: Eukaryota; Metazoa; Chordata; Actinopteri; Gobiiformes; Odontobutidae. The record is from RNAcentral.